This 531-nucleotide ribosomal RNA is filed under the name uncultured bacterium. RNAcentral describes it as "bacterial SSU rRNA". It matches the Rfam family "Bacterial small subunit ribosomal RNA", at positions 977 to 1509 of the family's 1533-position model. The record is from RNAcentral.
GGCCUUGACAUCUAAGAAUUUCCAGNGAUGGAUUGGUGCCUUCGGGAACUUAGAUACAGGUGCUGCAUGGCUGUCGUCAGCUCGUGUCGUGAGAUGUUGGGUUAAGUCCGCAACGAGCGUAACCCUUUUCCUUAUUUGCCAGCGGGUCAUGCCGGGAACUUUAAGGAUACUGCCAGUGACAAACUGGAGGAAGGCGGGGACGACGUCAAGUCAUCAUGGCCCUUACGGCCAGGGCUACACACGUGCUACAAUGGUCGGUACAAAGGGUUGCUACCUCGCGAGAGGAUGCUAAUCUCAAAAAGCCGAUCGUAGUCCGGAUCGCAGUCUGCAACUCGACUGCGUGAAGUCGGAAUCGCUAGUAAUCGCGGAUCAGAAUGCCGCGGUCGAAUACGUUCCCGGGCCUUGUACACACCGCCCGUCACACCAUGGGAGUUUGUUGCACCAGAAGUAGGUAGUCUAACCGCAAGGAGGACGCUUACCACGGUGUGGCCGAUGACUGGGGUGAAGUCGUAACAAGGUAAGCGUAGAUGA